UACGAAGGGGGCUAGCGUUGCUCGGAAUUACUGGGCGUAAAGCGCACGUAGGCGGAUUGUUAAGUCGGGGGUGAAAUCCUGGAGCUCAACUCCAGAACUGCCUUCGAUACUGGCGAUCUCGAGUUCGGGAGAGGUGAGUGGAACUGCGAGUGUAGAGGUGAAAUUCGUAGAUAUUCGCAAGAACACCAGUGGCGAAGGCGGCUCACUGGCCCGAUACUGACGCUGAGGCGCGAAAGUGUGGGGAUCAAACAGG
This 253-nucleotide ribosomal RNA is filed under the name uncultured bacterium. RNAcentral describes it as "partial 16S ribosomal RNA". It matches the Rfam family "Bacterial small subunit ribosomal RNA", at positions 524 to 776 of the family's 1533-position model. The record is from RNAcentral.